Molecule: long non-coding RNA, 548 nt
Organism: Cydia amplana
Lineage: Eukaryota; Metazoa; Arthropoda; Insecta; Lepidoptera; Tortricidae
Exons: 3
Source: RefSeq, a predicted model, not a curated record
GGUAAGUAGAUGUAUUCUGUGAACCGCAUUAAGAUUUUCACACAAAAAUAGAAAAAAACCAAUAAAUUUUUGGGGUUCCCCAUACUUCGAACUGAAACUCAAAAAAUUUUUUUUCAUCUAACCCAUACGUGUGGGGUAUCUAUGGAUAGGUCUUCAAAAAUGAUAUUGAGGUUUCUAAUAUCAUUUUUUUCUAAACUGAAUAGUUUGCGCGAGAGACACUUCCAAAGUGGUAAAAUGUGUGUCCCCCCCCCCUGUAACUUCUAAAAUAAGAGAAUGAUAAAACUAAAAAAAAUAUAUGAUGUACAUUACCAUGUAAACUUCCACCGAAAAUUGGUUUGAACGAGAUCUAGUAAGUAGUUUUUUUUUAUACAAUUAGAACUGAAACUCAAAAAAAUUUUUUUCAUCAAACCCAUACGUGUGGGGUAUCUAUGGAUAGGUCUUCAAAAAUGAUAUUGAGGUUCCUAAUAUCAUUUUUUUUCUAAACUGAAUAGUUUGCGCGAGAGACACUUCCAAAAUGGUAAAAUAUACUUCCAAAGUGGUAAAAUGUU